Long non-coding RNA from Juglans microcarpa x Juglans regia, 793 nucleotides. RefSeq lists it as uncharacterized. The record is from RefSeq and is a predicted model, not a curated record. The transcript has 2 exons. NCBI's taxonomy places the organism in Eukaryota, Viridiplantae, Streptophyta, Magnoliopsida, Fagales, Juglandaceae.
AACAUAAUUUUCUUCACAUUUUACACUUUUUCAAAACACAAAACCAAUGUAGUCAUGCAAGCUAUAAUGACCCAAGUUCACUAUGCAGAAGAUUCAAAAAGCACUACAUAACUUGAAUAAUUAUGUAGGAGUUAUGCAGGAGUAUAAGCUAAUUAUUAAUAGUUUUUGUGAUCUAAAAUUGUACAAAAACCAGAACCAAUGUAGUCAUGUAAGCUAGGACCAAAGUACUCGAUGUAAAGACAUUAGUUAUUCCAUUUACUUUGUGCUGAAGGAAAACAAGGAGCAGGAAAAGAAAGAGGAAAGCAAAGAAGAAAACGUGGAAGAGAAAAAGGAAGAAGGAAAAAAAAACCAAUCAUAAUCUAAACAAGAAUUUAAUACAAGAAGGAUACCAAAUCAAGAGAUCUACAAGAAUAUGUUUAAGAGCAAAAUACCAAUCAUAAUCUAAACUGUCAAGCUUGCCACUGAACUGUUAAUGGACCAUAUAAAUGUUUUAAGUACCAACCAAAUAUCUACAACAAUGAGUAUCAAUAUGGGAAAGACACUUCUUCUACUUAGAAAUUAAGACUAAAUAAUUGAUUCUACUAAAAGUAUGAAAAUGGGAGAACAUGAAACAAAAACCUAGGUUAAUUCCCCAAAACCAGAAACAAACCCUCCCUAUCUAAAACAACCACUCAUAUCAUACAUAAGGAAAAAAAAAAAACCCCCUCUUAUUCUCUCUUUCAUAACUCGGUCCCAAUGGGACCAUCCCAUCAUUUACAACCAAACCUUAAAACACCCAAAAAUACAAUAAAAC